GCCAAACAGCUAGCUCAAUUACCCAAUAACUAAACAAUAUAAAUAAAACAAAAUAAGCCUAACACCAAAAAUUAAAUCAUUCUUUUACCUUAGUAUGGGCGACAGAAAAGGUUACACCUGGAGCAAUAGAAAAAGUACCGCAAGGGAAAGCUGAAAGAGAAAUGAAAUAACUUAUAUAAGCACCAAAAAGCAAAGAUUAAAUCUUGUACCUUUCGCAUCAUGAUUUAGCCAGUAUAUCCAAGCAAAGAGACCUUUAGUUUGAAACCCCGAAACCAAGUGAGCUACCCCGAGACAGCCUAUUAAGGGCCAACCCGUCUCUGUGGCAAAAGAGUGGGAAGAGCUCCGGGUAGAGGUGACAGACCUACCGAACUUGGUGAUAGCUGGUUGCCUAAGAAGUGAAUAGAAGUUCAGCCUCGUACUCCCUGAGUCAAAAGAUAUAAAAAGAUAUUAGAGGGAAAUAUAUGAGAGUUAGUUAAAGGGGGUACAGCCCCUUUAACAAAGGACACAACCUUUCCAGGAGGAUAAAGAUCAUAAUACAUAAGACAUCCUAUUCUAGUGGGCCUAAAGGCAGCCAUCUAAACAGAAAGCGUUAAAGCUCAGACAGAAAUAAGUUUAUUAUUCCGACAAGAAAUCUUACUCCCCUAAAUAUUAUUAGGCCAGCCCAUGCCCACAUGGGAGAGACUAUGCUAAAAUGAGUAACAAGAAGGCCAGCCCUUCUCCAAGCACAAGUGUAAGCCAAACCGGACCGACCAUUGGCAAUUAACGAACUCAACCCGAGAGAGUAAUGUGUAUUACAACGAAACCAGGAAGAACCCACAAUUAACCCAUCGUUACCCCCACACUGGCGUGCUAUUAAAGGAAAGACUAAAAGAAGGGAAAGGAACUCGGCAAACACAAGCCUCGCCUGUUUACCAAAAACAUCGCCUCCUGCAACACAACCAAGUAUAGGAGGUCCAGCCUGCCCAGUGACUACAAGUUCAACGGCCGCGGUAUUUUGACCGUGCAAAGGUAGCGCAAUCACUUGUCUCUUAAAUGGAGACCUGUAUGAAUGGCUAAACGAGGGCUUAACUGUCUCCCCCCUCCAGUCAGUGAAAUUGAUCUACCCGUGCAGAAGCGGG
RNAcentral lists this ribosomal RNA (1118 nucleotides) under Schizopygopsis stoliczkai (false osman). RNAcentral's name for it is "partial 16S ribosomal RNA". It matches the Rfam family "Bacterial large subunit ribosomal RNA", at positions 157 to 2065 of the family's 2925-position model. Lineage: Eukaryota; Metazoa; Chordata; Actinopteri; Cypriniformes; Cyprinidae. The record is from RNAcentral.